CCUACGGGAGGCAGCAGUCGAGAAUCAUGCACAAUGGGGGAAACCCUGAUGGGGCGACGCCGCGUGGGGGAAUGAAGGUCUGCGGAUUGUAAACCCCUGUCAUGUGGGAGCAAAUUAAAAAGAUAGUACCACAAGAGGAAGAGACGGCUAACUCUGGGCCAGCAGCCGCGGUAAUACAGAGGUCUCAAGCGUUGUUCGGAAUCACUGGGCGUAAAGCGUGCGUAGGCCGUUUCGUAAGUCGUGUGUGAAAGGCGCGGGCUCAACCCGCGGACGGCACAUGAUACUGCGAGACUAGAGUAAUGGAGGGGGAACCGGAAUUCUCGGUGUAGCAGUGAAAUGCGUAGAUAUCGAGAGGAACACUCGUGGCGAAGGCGGGUUCCUGGACAUUAACUGACGCUGAGGCACGAAGGCCAGGGGAGCGAAAAGGAUUAGAUACCCCUGUAGUC
RNAcentral lists this ribosomal RNA (446 nucleotides) under uncultured bacterium. RNAcentral describes it as "partial 16S ribosomal RNA". It matches the Rfam family "Bacterial small subunit ribosomal RNA", at positions 338 to 795 of the family's 1533-position model. The record is from RNAcentral.